This 164-nucleotide ribosomal RNA is filed under the name Sporobolus schoenoides. RNAcentral's name for it is "5.8S ribosomal RNA". It matches the Rfam family "5.8S ribosomal RNA". Rfam says of the family: 5.8S ribosomal RNA (5.8S rRNA) is a component of the large subunit of the eukaryotic ribosome. It is transcribed by RNA polymerase I as part of the 45S precursor that also contains 18S and 28S rRNA. Functionally, it is thought that 5.8S rRNA may be involved in ribosome translocation. Lineage: Eukaryota; Viridiplantae; Streptophyta; Magnoliopsida; Poales; Poaceae. RNAcentral also lists the same sequence under 1 other name. The record is from RNAcentral.
CAAUAAGACUCUCGGCAACGGAUAUCUUGGCUCUUGCAUCGAUGAAGAACGUAGCAAAAUGCGAUACCUGGUGUGAAUUGCAGAAUCCCGUGAACCAUUGAGUUUUUGAACGCAAGUUGCGCCCUAGGCCUCCGGUUGAGGGCACGUCUGACUGGGCGUCACAC